Molecule: ribosomal RNA, 571 nt
Filed under: uncultured bacterium
Lineage: Bacteria
Description: partial 16S ribosomal RNA
Rfam family: Bacterial small subunit ribosomal RNA
Source: RNAcentral
UGGGGAAUUUUGGACAAUGGGCGAAAGCCUGAUCCAGCAAUGCCGCGUGUGUGAAGAAGGCCUUCGGGUUGUAAAGCACUUUUGUCCGGAAAGAAAUCCUUGGCUCUAAUACAGUCGGGGGAUGACGGUACCGGAAGAAUAAGCACCGGCUAACUACGUGCCAGCAGCCGCGGUAAUACGUAGGGUGCAGGCGUUAAUCGGAAUUACUGGGCGUAAAGCGUGCGCAGGCGGUUUGCUAAGACCGAUGUGAAAUCCCCGGGCUCAACCUGGGAACUGCAUUGGUGACUGGCAGGCUAGAGUAUGGCAGAGGGGGUAGAAUUCCACGUGUAGCAGUGAAAUGCGUAGAGAUGUGGAGGAAUACCGAUGGCGAAGGCAGCCCCCUGGGCCAAUACUGACGCUCAUGCACGAAAGCGUGGGGAGCAAACAGGAUUAGAUACCCUGGUAGUCCAGCGCCCUAAACGAUGUCAACUAGUUGUUGGGGAUUCAUUUCCUUAGUAACGUAGCUAACGCGUGAAGUUGACCGCCUGGGGAGUACGGCCGCAAGGUUAAAACUCAAAUGAAUUGACGGGGU